AGAACCUUCGGGUUAGUGGCGGACGGGUGAGUAACGCGUGAGAAUCUGCCCUCAGGAGGGGGAUAACGGUUGGAAACGACCGCUAAUACCCCAUAUGCCGCGAGGUGAAAUGAAUUUCGCCUGAGGAUGAGCUCGCGUCUGAUUAGUUAGUUGGUGGGGUAAAGGCCUACCAAGACAUCGAUCAGUAGCUGGUCUGAGAGGAUGAUCAGCCACACUGGGACUGAGACACGGCCCAGACUCCUACGGGAGGCAGCAGUGGGGAAUUUUCCGCAAUGGGCGAAAGCCUGACGGAGCAACGCCGCGUGAGGGAUGAAGGCCUCUGGGCUGUAAACCUCUUUUAUCAAGGAAGAAGAUCUGACGGUACUUGAUGAAUAAGCCACGGCUAAUUCCGUGCCAGCAGCCGCGGUAAUACGGGAGUGGCAAGCGUUAUCCGGAAUUAUUGGGCGUAAAGCGUCCGCAGGCGGUCUGUCAAGUCUGCUGUUAAAGCGUGGAGCUUAACUCCAUUUCGGCAGUGGAAACUGACAGACUAUAGUGUGGUAGGGGCAGAGGGAAUUCCCGGUGUAGCGGUGAAAUGCGUAUAUAUCGGGAAGAACACCAGUGGCGAAGGCGCUCUGCUGGGCCGUAACUGACGCUCAUGGACGAAAGCCAGGGGAGCGAAAGGGAUUAGAUACCCCUGUAGUCCUGGCCGUAAACGAUGAACACUAGGUGUCGGGGGAAUCGACCCCCUCUGGGUUGUAGCCAACGCGUUAAGUGUUCCCCCCUGGGGAGUACGCCCCGCCAGUGUGAAAACUCAAUGAAAUUGACGGGGGC
Molecule: ribosomal RNA, 810 nt
Filed under: uncultured cyanobacterium
Lineage: Bacteria; Bacillati; Cyanobacteriota
Description: bacterial SSU rRNA
Rfam family: Bacterial small subunit ribosomal RNA
Source: RNAcentral